Molecule: ribosomal RNA, 1457 nt
Filed under: Staphylococcus aureus
Lineage: Bacteria; Bacillati; Bacillota; Bacilli; Caryophanales; Staphylococcaceae
Description: partial 23S ribosomal RNA
Rfam family: Bacterial large subunit ribosomal RNA
Source: RNAcentral
AGACCACCAGCUAAGGUCCCAAAAUAUAUGUUAAGUGGAAAAGGAUGUGGCGUUGCCCAGACAACUAGGAUGUUGGCUUAGAAGCAGCCAUCAUUUAAAGAGUGCGUAAUAGCUCACUAGUCGAGUGACACUGCGCCGAAAAUGUACCGGGGCUAAACAUAUUACCGAAGCUGUGGAUUGUCCUUUGGACAAUGGUAGGAGAGCGUUCUAAGGGCGUUGAAGCAUGAUCGUAAGGACAUGUGGAGCGCUUAGAAGUGAGAAUGCCGGUGUGAGUAGCGAAAGACGGGUGAGAAUCCCGUCCACCGAUUGACUAAGGUUUCCAGAGGAAGGCUCGUCCGCUCUGGGUUAGUCGGGUCCUAAGCUGAGGCCGACAGGCGUAGGCGAUGGAUAACAGGUUGAUAUUCCUGUACCACCUAUAAUCGUUUUAAUCGAUGGGGGGACGCAGUAGGAUAGGCGAAGCGUGCGAUUGGAUUGCACGUCUAAGCAGUAAGGCUGAGUAUUAGGCAAAUCCGGUACUCGUUAAGGCUGAGCUGUGAUGGGGAGAAGACAUUGUGUCUUCGAGUCGUUGAUUUCACACUGCCGAGAAAAGCCUCUAGAUAGAAAAUAGGUGCCCGUACCGCAAACCGACACAGGUAGUCAAGAUGAGAAUUCUAAGGUGAGCGAGCGAACUCUCGUUAAGGAACUCGGCAAAAUGACCCCGUAACUUCGGGAGAAGGGGUGCUCUUUAGGGUUAACGCCCAGAAGAGCCGCAGUGAAUAGGCCCAAGCGACUGUUUAUCAAAAACACAGGUCUCUGCUAAACCGUAAGGUGAUGUAUAGGGGCUGACGCCUGCCCGGUGCUGGAAGGUUAAGAGGAGUGGUUAGCUUCUGCGAAGCUACGAAUCGAAGCCCCAGUAAACGGCGGCCGUAACUAUAACGGUCCUAAGGUAGCGAAAUUCCUUGUCGGGUAAGUUCCGACCCGCACGAAAGGCGUAACGAUUUGGGCACUGUCUCAACGAGAGACUCGGUGAAAUCAUAGUACCUGUGAAGAUGCAGGUUACCCGCGACAGGACGGAAAGACCCCGUGGAGCUUUACUGUAGCCUGAUAUUGAAAUUCGGCACAGCUUGUACAGGAUAGGUAGGAGCCUUUGAAACGUGAGCGCUAGCUUACGUGGAGGCGCUGGUGGGAUACUACCCUAGCUGUGUUGGCUUUCUAACCCGCACCACUUAUCGUGGUGGGAGACAGUGUCAGGCGGGCAGUUUGACUGGGGCGGUCGCCUCCUAAAAGGUAACGGAGGCGCUCAAAGGUUCCCUCAGAAUGGUUGGAAAUCAUUCAUAGAGUGUAAAGGCAUAAGGGAGCUUGACUGCGAGACCUACAAGUCGAGCAGGGUCGAAAGACGGACUUAGUGAUCCGGUGGUUCCGCAUGGAAGGGCCAUCGCUCAACGGAUAAAAGCUACCCCGGGGAUAACAGGCUUAUC